RNAcentral lists this long non-coding RNA (1118 nucleotides) under Anser cygnoides (Swan goose). Its description in RNAcentral is "lncRNA (ENSACDG00005003893.1)". The record is from RNAcentral. Lineage: Eukaryota; Metazoa; Chordata; Aves; Anseriformes; Anatidae.
AAGAGACUUGGUGAACACAAGUCACUGGAAUAAGCAGAACCAUGGAUCUGAUGUUUCCUACUGUCUUUUUAAACUUAAAUUAAAGGUUACUGCAUGUUACAUCAGCUGGAGUUUGUACAUGUUAUUCCUUUCAAGGAGAAGUGAAUUUGAGUAAUACAGGAAAAGGUGGUACGUGUAUGGAUCCUUGUCUGAAGGCAAGAAAGUAAACAGCACAGGCCUGUAACAAGUUCAUUUUAAAAAGGGGAGGGAGAGAUUACAGGGGAAAGUUUGUACUAUAGGAAAUAUCUCUUCAGCUGAGAUUGCGGUGACGUUGUCCAGGGUUUUAAGGUAAUUGCUACAUUCCAAGUUGCUUUCAGUGCCAAAGCUUAAGUAGUGGGGGUAGCUAAAGGAACAGCAUCUUGCCUGGAUAGACGUACCUGGAACUCAAGGGUGCCACAGCCCCCAGCCAGCCUGGGUACCACUGUGCCCAGCUGCAGCUCAUGAGACCAGCUAGAGGAAGGGCAGGCCACCUCAGAUUUUCAGACAGACUAAAGAAGAUUCCCUCGAGCAACAUCCUACAUAUCACAGCUCAUUCAACAGAGCAGUGGAUGCCCUUGAUACCACAGACAGAAACAUUCUCUGUGCUGUACACUCUCAGGUAAUUGCAGAAUGAGAUUCAGCCUAAUACACCUUUUAGUUUAUUUGUUUCCACCACAAACUGCACUUCUCUCUAUAUUGUCCACAAGGUAGGCCAUGGUUCAGCUGCGAGACUAGCAAGAAUGAGCCAUUGGCCUCAGUGCCAAGUUUGGCACUGGUGGAGGCUGAGACUGAGACUUGUGAUUUAAAGUGAUUUUUAAAAUUAAUUUGUAGCCAGAUGCCAAACCCAAUCAUUAACACUGCUUCAAACUUCAGAUUCUGGUUCUUUGAUACAUAUUUUUGUAGUGGGGUUGCUGAUUUCUUUUGCUUAGUUUAGUUUUAAAAUAAGCUAUUUUCUGCUUUAUGAAAUAGAAUACAAUGCAUAUUUAGUCUCUUUGGCCAAAGUCUUUUUUUUUUUUUCUUAUUUUUUUACAGAAUUGUAGAGGUUGGAAGAGAGAUCUUCAGGUCCAGCCCCCCUGCCAAAGCAGGUUCUCUAGAGCAGG